Molecule: ribosomal RNA, 878 nt
Filed under: uncultured candidate division GN03 bacterium
Lineage: Bacteria
Description: bacterial SSU rRNA
Rfam family: Bacterial small subunit ribosomal RNA
Source: RNAcentral
CCACUGCGCCUGAAGGUACCUCCAAAGGAAGCUCCGGCUAACUCCGUGCCAGCAGCCGCGGUAAUACGGAGGGAGCGAACGUUGUUCGGAUUUACUGGGUGUAAAGGGUGCGUAGGCGGCUACGUGUGUCAGAGGUGAAAGCUCACGGCUCAACCGUGGAAUUGCCUUUGAAACUGCGUAGCUUGAGUCCGAGAGAGGAUGAUGGAAUUCCUGGUGUAACGGUGAAAUGUGCAGAUAUCAGGAAGAACACCGGUGGCGAAGGCGGUCAUCUGGCUCGGUACUGACGCUGAGGCACGAAAGCUAGGGUAUCAAACGGGAUUAGAUACCCCGGUAGUCCUAGCCGUAAACGAUGUCCACUAGGUGUCGGAGGUUCUACCCCUUCGGUGCCGCAGCUAACGCAUUAAGUGGACCACCUGGGGAGUACGCUCGCAAGGGUGAAACUCAAAGGAAUUGACGGGGGCCCGCACAAGCGGUGGAGCAUGUGGUUUAAUUCGAUGCAACGCGAAGAACCUUACCUGGGCUUGACAUGCAGGGGACAGGUGUAGAGAUACACCCUUCUUCGGACUCCUGUACAGGUGCUGCAUGGCUGUCGUCAGCUCGUGUCGUGAAAUGUUGGGUUAAGUCCCGCAACGAGCGCAACCCUUGUCCUUAGUUGCCAGCACGUCAUGGUGGGAACUCUAGGGAGACUGCCGGUGACAAACCGGAGGAAGGUGGGGACGACGUCAAGUCAUCAUGGCCCUUACGUCCAGGGCUACACACGUGCUACAAUGGCACAUACAGAGGGCCGCGAACCCGCGAGGGGGAGCCAAUCCCAAAAAGUGUGCCUCAGUUCGGAUCGCAGUCUGCAACUCGACUGCGUGAAGUCGGAAUCGCUAGUA